This 673-nucleotide ribosomal RNA is filed under the name Staphylococcus sp. HMSC062H10. RNAcentral's name for it is "bacterial SSU rRNA". It matches the Rfam family "Bacterial small subunit ribosomal RNA", at positions 1 to 655 of the family's 1533-position model. Lineage: Bacteria; Bacillati; Bacillota; Bacilli; Caryophanales; Staphylococcaceae. The record is from RNAcentral.
UUUUAUGGAGAGUUUGAUCCUGGCUCAGGAUGAACGCUGGCGGCGUGCCUAAUACAUGCAAGUCGAGCGAACGGACGAGAAGCUUGCUUCUCUGAUGUUAGCGGCGGACGGGUGAGUAACACGUGGAUAACCUACCUAUAAGACUGGGAUAACUUCGGGAAACCGGAGCUAAUACCGGAUAAUAUUUUGAACCGCAUGGUUCAAAAGUGAAAGACGGUCUUGCUGUCACUUAUAGAUGGAUCCGCGCUGCAUUAGCUAGUUGGUAAGGUAACGGCUUACCAAGGCAACGAUGCAUAGCCGACCUGAGAGGGUGAUCGGCCACACUGGAACUGAGACACGGUCCAGACUCCUACGGGAGGCAGCAGUAGGGAAUCUUCCGCAAUGGGCGAAAGCCUGACGGAGCAACGCCGCGUGAGUGAUGAAGGUCUUCGGAUCGUAAAACUCUGUUAUUAGGGAAGAACAUAUGUGUAAGUAACUGUGCACAUCUUGACGGUACCUAAUCAGAAAGCCACGGCUAACUACGUGCCAGCAGCCGCGGUAAUACGUAGGUGGCAAGCGUUAUCCGGAAUUAUUGGGCGUAAAGCGCGCGUAGGCGGUUUUUUAAGUCUGAUGUGAAAGCCCACGGCUCAACCGUGGAGGGUCAUUGGAAACUGGAAAACUUGAGUGCAGAAGA